This is a long non-coding RNA of Rhinichthys klamathensis goyatoka, 542 nucleotides long. RefSeq lists it as uncharacterized. The record is from RefSeq and is a predicted model, not a curated record. Lineage: Eukaryota; Metazoa; Chordata; Actinopteri; Cypriniformes; Leuciscidae. The transcript has 3 exons.
CUCUAUACAUGUUCACAGUGCAAAUAAUAAUCAUACGGGAAUAUAUAGCUGCCAAACCAAGUCAUUGGAUUCAAUGAGCAGGGCUUAUGUAAAAGUGGAAGACUGUGAUUUUCCUUCAAAUUUAUCCACUGUAAAUAAAACAUCAUCCUCUCUGACUACCACAUACCAAAGCUCUACACCAUCAAGGAUUUUGGAUCCAGUGCUGAUAUGGUACAUGCUGUUCAAGACAGGGGUUUUUCUCAUCGGGUCAAUAAUUGCAGCGCUGAAAACUGUGUGCCAGAAGCACUGAAAAAUGAACAGAAUUUCUGUCAAUUCUGUCAAAAAACUAUGCUUCCAAUAAAUGUUCUCCAUUCAUUUUCUCUUGGAUGCUGCUAUACAGAAUUCAAUAUUCUUCCAGUGCUGAAUUUGUAAAUGUUAUCUAGUGCUCUGCCUCUGUGUUGUGAUGCUCAGAUGUGUCUAAAUUCAAAACAGCUUUGUGAACUUGGCCGUUAUCUCUCAGCAUUUUUACUAAGUAAAUAAAUAAAACCAUACGAAUUCUCACA